RNAcentral lists this ribosomal RNA (119 nucleotides) under Triticum aestivum (bread wheat). The record is from RNAcentral. Lineage: Eukaryota; Viridiplantae; Streptophyta; Magnoliopsida; Poales; Poaceae.
GGAUGCGAUCAUACCAGCACUGAAGCACCGGAUCCCAUUAGAACUCCGAAGUUAAGCGUGCUUGGGCGAGAGUAGUACUAGGAUGGGUGACCUCUUGGGAAGUCCUCGUGUUGCAUUCC